UUUUUUUUUUUGGGUUUUUUUUUUUUCUGUCUGCCAUGAAAUCGAUACAGUAAUUUCAUUUCUCAGUCAUAAAUGAAAUGAGCUGUAAAGCAAAGUUGGGUGUUUAAGCCAGAGUGAAAGAAUGAAUUGUUCUGAUGAGGGACGUUAACGAAGGGAUUAAAUGUUCCUGCGAACAUCCCCAGGCCACCCCAACUGUCACUGGGUGGUUUUGGGGCUCCCUGUCCUGCCUGGGUGGGCACAGAACUUCACUGAGCCCCACCAGGGACCCUCCAGACAUGGAGAUACUCCAGGGGGUUUGGGGCACCGGUGGCCAAGGGAAAGAGCGGAGGGAAGUCCUUGUGGGAUGGGCCCCUCAUCUCCUCAUCCUCAUCUCCUCUUCCUUCCUCUUCCUCAUCUCCUCAUCCUCAUGUCCUCAUGGUCAUCCCCUCAUCUCCUCAUCUUUUCCUCAUGGCAACGCUGCCACAUGGGGAUAGACUGAAAGGAAUGGGAAAACCAACCCCAAACCAAGGAGCUAUUUGUUACCAGCAGCCUUUCAGCUGACCCAGAGCAAUGGGGGUUUUUAUUUAUGCUGGGUUUUUUCACGGGGACACAACCCCUGCUGCUUUCUGAGGAGGGUGGGCAGAGGUUUCCGCUCCGGGGGCCGGGCAGUUCCCAGCUCAGGGGAUGUUUUUCCCUGCCACGGAAGGCAGGAGCUUUGCCCAGCUCCACACCAUUAAAGGUUAAGCCCAGAAUUUGGGUUUUGCUUUCCUGCCCACAGCCUGGCAGCCCGACCUCGGGAGCCCUCCUCUCAUGGCAAGCGCCCAAGACCCCCAGCUCCCCUCCUGCCCUUGCUCCAACAUUUAUUUUCCAGUGGAAAAUAACCCAGCGCUGAUCCAGAGCACUUUGACAAGUCCAAAAAUAUGAGGCCAUAUUAUCUUUAAACCAGUUUUUAAAAGCCCCACAGUGAAAGCCCUACUGGGGCAGGAGAAACUCCAGCCAAGUUCCCCAUGUCCGCCCCCUGCUCCAGUUGUAUUCCCCUGGAAAUCCUCGCAAAGAAAAACACGAGGCCUGAAAAAAAAUUUGGUUUUCAUUAAAACCCUCGAAUGUGAGGGGUUCUGUAGCUUUCAAUGGGGCUUUGAUUCCUAUAGAUGAUGGAAUGUUUUCAGAACAUUUAAAAAAUGUUCUCCACCUUUCUAUCUUCUAUCAGCGGGGAACUGCACCGGGUUUUUCUGCCUGAUAGAAGUGGCGAGGGCUGGAGGCAGAUCCAAACCCUUUCCUUUAUUUACCUUGAGGUUUCGGUUUAAAAAUGUGAUGAUAUUUUCUUGUGGCUUUGGAACCAGAGGAGAUAAUCCACGUCGGGGGAAAAGAAAUGGGCGGAUAAACGCUGCAGGAAUUUUUUUUCAAGGGGGAUUUUAAUUAUUAAUUAUUUUUUUUUUCCAUGGAGAGGAAGCGGGGUCACUCAGCACAUGCAGGUACCCACGUACCUCUCUGAGCCCUUUCUGGGGGAAGCUGAGAUGCAUCUCCAACCUUCUACAUCAUCUCCAGUUUUGUGGAGAUUGCCUGAAGAGAUGAUUUUAUUGCUGUGUUCCAUCCCUGCUCCUGGGUGCACCAGCUGGUGGCUUUUCUAAAUCUCCUUUUAUAGGAGACCAGCUUUUUAAUGUCAUUUAAUUCCAUUUUUUUGAGUGAGUGUAAAGUGGGUUCCUGGCCUUGGCAUUUUUGAGGGUGAUAAAGAGCUGGAGGGAGCUGAGGUGCCCCUUCCUAUCACCCCCAACCUCACCUGGUGCCCUCGAUGCCCGAGGAGCCCCAGGGUGCUGCAGGUGCUCAAAAGCCAGGCUGGGACAGCCCCGUGUCCCCUCCAGGGCCAGGGUUCCUUCCCAGCCCGGGGAAGGAACCAUCCCCAGGGCUCUUUGCUUCAUUCCAGCUUUUCCUGACGCUGUGUCCGAGCCACCACCCAGUGCCACCCCCAGACCCCCCAGCGCUCCCCUCCUUGCACAAACCCCACCCCAGCUGGCAUUUUGGGGUGCCUUUGUGCUCGUUCCUGCAGGAAACCCCAAAGCAAACCCCUUUCCUGCACUCGGUGGGGCUCUGGGGAGGAGGAAGAGGAGGAGAGGGAGGUGCGAGCCCAGCCCUGGUGCCGAAUUUGGGCACCAUGCCGGGCCGGUCAGACCGGUCGGGCCGGCUGGGCCGUGCCCGUGGCACCAGACACGCCGUGCUCGCCCCUGCCGCUGUCCCUGCCCCUCCCCAGGUGGCAGCUCAGCCUGGGCUCCGUCCCCCAGAAAGGGCCACCCAGGCUGUGGUGGCCCGGUGCCACCGCGGGUGCCCGGCCCCGCUGCCCUGCAGCACCUGCAGCGCUCCCAGCCUGGCUCUAUCCCAAUUCCUUCCGGGGGGAUUCCAGGGAUUUGGAUAAACCCCAGCGAGCUGAGCACCGAGUGCCAAAGCCCGGCUCCAGCCCUGCCCUGCUGACCCAGCGCCUUGGGAAGAGGCUUUGAGCUGGGCUUGGAGCUGGGCUUGAGCUGGGCUUGGAGCUGGGCUUGAGCUGGGUCUGGAACUGGGCUUGGAGCUGGAGCUUGAGCUGGGCUUGGAGCUGGGCUUGGAGCUGGAGCUGGAGUUGGGUUUUGGGCUGGUUCUGGAGCUGGAGCUGCUCCUGGAGUCAGGGUCCCUGUGGGUCUUGGGUCUGAGCAGCAGCAAUCUGGAGGGGCUGGGAUGUUCCAUGGGAUGUGAUUCCAUGGAUGUGAUUCCAUGGAUGAGGUUCCAUGGAUGAGUUCCAUGGAUGAGGUUCCAUGGAUGAGGUUCCAUGGAUGUGAUUCCAUGGGAUGUGAUGCCAUGGAUGAGGUUCCAUGGAUGAGGUUCCAUGGGAUGUGAUUCCAUGGAUGAGGUUCCAUGGAUGAGGUUCCAUGGGAUGUGGUUCCAUGGAUGAGGUUCCAUGGAUGAGGUUCCAUGGAUGAGGUUCCAUGGAUGAGGUUCCAUGGGAUGGAUUCCAUGGAUGAGGUUCCAUGGGAGCCUGGCCACGGGGCUGCACUUCC
Molecule: long non-coding RNA, 3002 nt
Filed under: Taeniopygia guttata (zebra finch)
Lineage: Eukaryota; Metazoa; Chordata; Aves; Passeriformes; Estrildidae
Description: lncRNA (ENSTGUG00000027822.1)
Source: RNAcentral